UCCUACGGGGCGCAGCAGUGGGGAAUAUUGCACAAUGGGCGCAAGCCUGAUGCAGCGACGCCGCGUGAGCGAAGAAGUAUUUCGGUAUGUAAAGCUCUAUCAGCAGGGAAGAAAAUGACGGUACCUGACUAAGAAGCUCCGGCUAAAUACGUGCCAGCAGCCGCGGUAAUACGUAUGGAGCAAGCGUUAUCCGGAAUUACUGGGUGUAAAGGGAGCGUAGACGGAGAAGCGAGUCUGAAGUGAAAGCCCGUGGCUUAACCACGGGACUGCUUUGGAAACUGUUUGACUAGAGUGCUGGAGAGGUA
Molecule: ribosomal RNA, 305 nt
Filed under: uncultured bacterium
Lineage: Bacteria
Description: bacterial SSU rRNA
Rfam family: Bacterial small subunit ribosomal RNA
Source: RNAcentral